This 253-nucleotide ribosomal RNA is filed under the name uncultured bacterium. Its description in RNAcentral is "partial 16S ribosomal RNA". It matches the Rfam family "Bacterial small subunit ribosomal RNA", at positions 524 to 776 of the family's 1533-position model. The record is from RNAcentral.
UACGUAGGGGGCGAGCGUUGUCCGGAGUUACUGGGCGUAAAGAGCGCGUAGGCGGUCUGCCAAGUCUGAUGUGAAACUCCUCGGCUCAACCGGGGGCCUGCAUUGGAUACUGGUAGACUAGAGUGCAGUAGGGGAGAGUGGAAUUCCUGGUGUAGCGGUGAAAUGCGCAGAGAUCAGGAGGAACACCGGUGGCGAAGGCGGCUCUCUGGGCUGCAACUGACGCUGAGGCGCGAAAGCUAGGGGAGCAAACAGG